This is a long non-coding RNA of Manis pentadactyla (Chinese pangolin), 723 nucleotides long. RefSeq lists it as uncharacterized. The transcript is spliced from 2 exons. NCBI's taxonomy places the organism in Eukaryota, Metazoa, Chordata, Mammalia, Pholidota, Manidae. The record is from RefSeq and is a predicted model, not a curated record.
GAGAGGGUGCGGCCCCUGACCCGUCCUAGGGCCUGGCUAAUUGCAUGGGGGAAAGGGGUUGGAGGGGUUAAUGGCCGUCCCUGAGGCCACCUCAAACCCAGUUGUCCCUCUCUCCGCACCCCAGGUCACAGGUGAGGUCUGCAGGGCUGGCCCCACAGGGACGUGGGCCAGUCAGUGCCAAGGCCAGCCUGAGGCCCCCGCCCUCUGCUCCUGAUGACUGGCGUGGAUCAAAAGGCCCCGGGCUCGGCCUUGCCCAUCAGGGAAAUGCCACAUUGCUCUGGAAUGAGUCGCCAGCAUUUGCCAAACGAAAUUCAACUCCGCAGGACAGCUCGGAUAUGUUCCCUAGAUGACUGUAGAGGCGCGGGGAGGCCUGGAGGCCGGGACCAGGCACCUGCGAGGCACGCGGGGUGCAGCCUGGGGAAGCGGGGGGUGGGGGCACUGGAGCUCUGGGCCUGUGGGCAGUGCCCUUGCAGAGCUCUCUGCCAUCUGGGGGGCCUGGUGUGGUACCCCGAGGCCAGGGGGCGCGCUUCCUCCCAUCCGCCCGCGGGACAGGUCCAUCACGGGGUCCAGCUAGUGAGGCCGGGCAGCCCUGAAGCUGGCAGAUGGGAGCCGGAGCCAGAGGGAUGGGGCAGAGUGUGCAGACACCGCCGGAAGGAGCUGCACACGCACGGGAGCAGCGAGUUGCUUUUGCAAAGCUGAAAAAAGUCACUUCUGGUUCUUUUU